Pangasianodon hypophthalmus (striped catfish) is the source of this 366-nucleotide long non-coding RNA. RefSeq lists it as uncharacterized. NCBI's taxonomy places the organism in Eukaryota, Metazoa, Chordata, Actinopteri, Siluriformes, Pangasiidae. The transcript is spliced from 3 exons. The record is from RefSeq and is a predicted model, not a curated record.
AUUGUGAAUCUUUCUCCCCUCAGCACAAAAGGUUGAUGCCUCAUCUAUUGGAUUAUGGAAGGGAUUUUCAGCUUCCUGUUAAGCCGCAGUGUGUCGGACAGCAGCUCACUGAGAGCUCAUGUGUUCACUCUAACACUGCUGUUCUCUCUUGUGAGAUAGAAAGGAAGGGAAAAGUCGCUUCAGAAUGAACCUUUUCUGCUUCAGUCUGGAGGGAUCUACAGACAGCCUGUACGAGGCCCCGCAGACAAGCCCUGGUCCAACGCCUUGGAGCCCCAAGUGGGGCGGCUCGGAGCCCUGCAUCGCUCCGGAGCUUCUCCAGACUCCCACCAAACAGCUUAAGACAGAUCUGAAGAAAGCAAAGAGAAA